UGCAGUCGAACGGCAGCACGGACUUCGGUCUGGUGGCGAGUGGCGAACGGGUGAGUAAUGUAUCGGAACGUGCCCAGUAGCGGGGGAUAACUACGCGAAAGCGUAGCUAAUACCGCAUACGCCCUACGGGGGAAAGCAGGGGAUCGCAAGACCUUGCACUAUUGGAGCGGCCGAUAUCGGAUUAGCUAGUUGGUGGGGUAACGGCUCACCAAGGCGACGAUCCGUAGCUGGUUUGAGAGGACGACCAGCCACACUGGGACUGAGACACGGCCCAGACUCCUACGGGAGGCAGCAGUGGGGAAUUUUGGACAAUGGGGGAAACCCUGAUCCAGCCAUCCCGCGUGUGCGAUGAAGGCCUUCGGGUUGUAAAGCACUUUUGGCAGGAAAGAAACGUCGUGGGUUAAUACCCCGCGAAACUGACGGUACCUGCAGAAUAAGCACCGGCUAACUACGUGCCAGCA
This 461-nucleotide ribosomal RNA is filed under the name Achromobacter xylosoxidans. RNAcentral describes it as "bacterial SSU rRNA". It matches the Rfam family "Bacterial small subunit ribosomal RNA", at positions 56 to 513 of the family's 1533-position model. Lineage: Bacteria; Pseudomonadati; Pseudomonadota; Betaproteobacteria; Burkholderiales; Alcaligenaceae. The record is from RNAcentral.